GUUCAGGGCUGCAGUAGGUGACCUGCGGAAGGACAUUA
RNAcentral lists this ribosomal RNA (38 nucleotides) under Amanita ceciliae. Its description in RNAcentral is "partial 18S ribosomal RNA". The record is from RNAcentral. Lineage: Eukaryota; Fungi; Basidiomycota; Agaricomycetes; Agaricales; Amanitaceae.